GAUGAAGAACGUAGCGAAAUGCGAUACGUAAUGUGAAUUGCAGAAUUCAGUGAAUCAUCGAAUCUUUGAACGCACAUGGCGCCCGCUAGUAUUCUGGCGGGCAUGCCUGUCCGAGCGUCAUUUCAACCCAUCAAGCUUAGCGCUUGUGUUGGAGCCCUGCGGCCGCCGCAGCCUCCUAAAAUCAGUGGCGGGCUCGCUAUCACGCUGAGUGCAGUAGUAUUCUUCUCACUCCUGUGGUGUAGCGGGUAACCAGCCGUAAACCCCCCCAUCUAUAAAGGUUGACCUCGGAUCAGGUAGGAAUACCCGCUGAACUUAAGCAUAUCAAUAAGCGGAGGA
RNAcentral lists this unclassified non-coding RNA (336 nucleotides) under soil metagenome. Its description in RNAcentral is "partial contains 5.8S ribosomal RNA, internal transcribed spacer 2, and large subunit ribosomal RNA". The stretch from base 1 to 120 matches the Rfam family "5.8S ribosomal RNA", at positions 35 to 154 of the family's 154-position model. The record is from RNAcentral.